This 718-nucleotide ribosomal RNA is filed under the name Torresitrachia aquilonia. Its description in RNAcentral is "partial 16S ribosomal RNA". The stretch from base 328 to 485 matches the Rfam family "Archaeal large subunit ribosomal RNA", at positions 1882 to 2091 of the family's 2987-position model. Lineage: Eukaryota; Metazoa; Mollusca; Gastropoda; Stylommatophora; Camaenidae. The record is from RNAcentral.
CACGAAUUCGCGUGAGCUAACUUUCUUAUAAUGUAUGUAGCAUAAUAUCUAAUUUAAAGUGAGUUAGGGGUGAUAGGCUUCUCAAAAGCGAAGAUAUCUUGAAGUAAGCAAAAAAAAUUGAGUUUUAAAAUAAUUACAAAGUUAUAAGAUUUUGUAAAGGAUUUAAUUUGUGAUAUUGUAUUAUAUUGGUAUAAAAACCUAUAAAAAUUAUUUAAUUAGUAUUAAGCUAAAGGAUUUUUAUUUAUUUAGUUUACGGUAAUAUAACUUUAAAAAAAUCAUUAUGUUAAUAUGAGUACUAAUAAGAUAUUAAUAGUGAACUCGGCAAUAAAGCUUUCAACUGUUUAUCAAAAACAUAGUCACAUGACUCACAUGUGGUGUGUUCUGCUCAAUGAUAUUUAAAUAGCCGCAGUACCCUGACUGUGCAAAGGUAGCGUAAUCAUUUGUCUUUUAAUUGAAGUCGUGUAUGAAUGAAUUCAUGGAGGCUUACUUUACCAUUAAUAUAUUUUGAAGUUACUUAAGAGGUGAAAAUGCCUCUAUUUAAAUAAUAGACGAGAAGACCCUUGAAAUUUUUAUACACAUUUUGUUGGGGCAACAUAGUAGGUAAACCUACAUAAUGUAUAUGCAAUUAUUUUGUAUGAUUAAAUUACUCUAGGGAUAACAGCAUAAUUCUAAGUGAGUUUGUGACCUCGAUGUUGGAUUAGGGAACUAUAACUUAAAA